CAUGCAGUCGACGGAAGGCCCUUCGGGGUACUCGAGUGGCGAACGGGUGAGUAACACGUGGGUGAUCUGCCCUGCACUUUGGGAUAAGCCUGGGAAACUGGGUCUAAUACCGAAUACACCCUUCUGGCUGCAUGGUCUGGGAGGGGAAAGCUUUUGCGGUGUGGGAUGGGCCCGCGGCCUAUCAGCUUGUUGGUGAGGUUAUGGCUUACCAAGGCGACGACGGGUAGCCGGCCUGAGAGGGUGACCGGCCACACUGGGACUGAGAUACGGCCCAGACUCCUACGGGAGGCAGCAGUGGGGAAUAUUGCACAAUGGGCGCAAGCCUGAUGCAGCGACGCCGCGUGAGGGAUGACGGCCUUCGGGUUGUAAACCUCUUUCGCCAGGGACGAAGCGCAAGUGACGGUACCUGGAGAAGAAGGACCGGCCAACUACGUGCCAGCAGCCGCGGUAAUACGUAGGGUCCGAGCGUUGUCCGGAAUUACUGGGCGUAAAGAGCUCGUAGGUGGUUUGUCGCGUUGUCCGUGAAAACUCACAGCUCAACUGUGGGCGUGCGGGCGAUACGGGCAGACUGGAGUACUGCAGGGGAGACUGGAAUUCCUGGUGUAGCGGUGGAAUGCGCAGAUAUCAGGAGGAACACCGGUGGCGAAGGCGGGUCUCUGGGCAGUAACUGACGCUGAGGAGCGAAAGCGUGGGGAGCGAACAGGAUUAGAUACCCUGGUAGUCCACGCCGUAAACGGUGGGUACUAGGUGUGGGUUUCCUUCCUUGGGAUCCGUGCCGUAGCUAACGCAUUAAGUACCCCGCCUGGGGAGUACGGCCGCAAGGCUAAAACUCAAAGAAAUUGACGGGGGCCCGCACAAGCGGCGGAGCAUGUGGAUUAAUUCGAUGCAACGCGAAGAACCUUACCUGGGUUUGACAUGCACAGGACGCCGGCAGAGAUGUCGGUUCCCUUGUGGCCUGUGUGCAGGUGGUGCAUGGCUGUCGUCAGCUCGUGUCGUGAGAUGUUGGGUUAAGUCCCGCAACGAGCGCAACCCUUAUCUUAUGUUGCCAGCGCGUAAUGGCGGGGACUCGUGAGAGACUGCCGGGGUCAACUCGGAGGAAGGUGGGGAUGACGUCAAGUCAUCAUGCCCCUUAUGUCCAGGGCUUCCACCUUGCUACAAUGGCCGGUACAAAAGGCUCCAAUNCCC
Molecule: ribosomal RNA, 1185 nt
Filed under: bacterium
Lineage: Bacteria
Description: bacterial SSU rRNA
Rfam family: Bacterial small subunit ribosomal RNA
Source: RNAcentral